RNAcentral lists this unclassified non-coding RNA (337 nucleotides) under soil metagenome. RNAcentral describes it as "partial contains 5.8S ribosomal RNA, internal transcribed spacer 2, and large subunit ribosomal RNA". The stretch from base 1 to 120 matches the Rfam family "5.8S ribosomal RNA", at positions 35 to 154 of the family's 154-position model. The record is from RNAcentral.
GAUGAAGAACGUAGCGAAAUGCGAUAAGUAAUGUGAAUUGCAGAAUUCAGUGAAUCAUCGAAUCUUUGAACGCACAUUGCGCCCGCCAGUAUUCUGGCGGGCAUGCCUGUUCGAGCGUCAUUUCAACCAUCAAGCCCCCGGCUUGUGUUGGGGACCUGCGGCUGCCGCAGGCCCUGAAAACCAGUGGCGGGCUCGCUAGUCACUCCGAGCGUAGUAGCAUACAUCUCGCUCUGGGCGUGCUGCGGGUUCCGGCCGUUAAACCACCUUCAUAACCCAAGGUUGACCUCGGAUCAGGUAGGAAGACCCGCUGAACUUAAGCAUAUCAAUAAGCGGAGGA